UACGUAGGCAGCAAGCGUUGUUCGGGGUUACUGGGCGUAAAGGGUGUGUAGGCGGUUAUUUAAGUUUGGUGGGAAAUCUCCCGGCUCAACCGGGAGGGUGCGCCGAAUACUGAAUGACUUGGAGUGCGGGAGAGGAAAGUGGAAUUCCUGGUGUAGCGGUGAAAUGCGUAGAUAUCAGGAGGAACACCGGUGGUGUAGACGGCUUUCUGGACCGUAACUGACGCUGAGACACGAAAGCGUGGGUAGCAAACAGG
RNAcentral lists this ribosomal RNA (254 nucleotides) under uncultured bacterium. RNAcentral's name for it is "partial 16S ribosomal RNA". It matches the Rfam family "Bacterial small subunit ribosomal RNA", at positions 524 to 776 of the family's 1533-position model. The record is from RNAcentral.